GCUGGGCAUUGUGGUGGGUGCCUGUAAUCUCAGCUACUCGGAGGCUGAGGCAGGAGAAUUGCUUGAACCUGGGAGGCAGAGGUUGCAGUGAGCCAAGACUGCACCACUGCACUCCAGCCUGGGUGAAAGAGCGAGACUCUGUCUCAA
Unclassified non-coding RNA from Pongo abelii (Sumatran orangutan), 147 nucleotides. It matches the Rfam family "Metazoan signal recognition particle RNA". From Rfam's summary of the family: The signal recognition particle (SRP) is a universally conserved ribonucleoprotein. It is involved in the co-translational targeting of proteins to membranes. The eukaryotic SRP consists of a 300-nucleotide 7S RNA and six proteins: SRPs 72, 68, 54, 19, 14, and 9. Lineage: Eukaryota; Metazoa; Chordata; Mammalia; Primates; Hominidae. The record is from Ensembl.